CCUACGGGUGGCAGCAGUGGGGAAUAUUGGGCAAUGGGCGCAAGCCUGACCCAGCAACGCCGCGUGAAGGAUGAAGGUUUUCGGAUUGUAAACUCCUUUUUUUAUAGCAGUUAAUGACGGUAUCUAACGAAUAAUCAACGGCUAACUCCGUGCCAGCAGCCGCGGUAAUACGGAGGGAGCAAGCGUUACUCGGAUUCACUGGGCGUAAAGAGCGCGAAGGCGGGUUGUCAAGUCAGAUGUGAAAUUCUAUGGCUUAACCAUAGCACGGCAUUGGAAACUGUUAUUCUAGAGUAUGGGAGAGGUAGGUGGAAUUCUUGGUGUAGGGGUAAAAUCCGUAGAGAUCAAGAGGAAUACUGAUUGCGAAGGCGACCUGCUAGAACAUAACUGACGCUGAGGCGCGAAAGCGUGGGGAGCAAACAGGAUUAGAUACCCCUGUAGUC
RNAcentral lists this ribosomal RNA (440 nucleotides) under uncultured bacterium. RNAcentral's name for it is "partial 16S ribosomal RNA". It matches the Rfam family "Bacterial small subunit ribosomal RNA", at positions 338 to 795 of the family's 1533-position model. The record is from RNAcentral.